UUCAACUAUUUAUAUAUUCUGUGUGUUUAUAUUAAUUUACAGAUAUUACAUUUGCUGUUUUAUUUGUUCCAUCAUCUUCAGGACUCACUUGUUUGAUUUGUCAAGACAUUGCACAUCCAAGGUUCUGUGAAGAUGUCGGAGCAUGUGCGUCAGGAGAGAAAUGUGGUAUGGAACGUAAAAUGAAUAACUUUGGAGGUGUUUCAUACAGUAUAGGGUGCAGGAGCGAGAAGGUAAAAUGGAUUACUUUGGAGGUGUUUCAUACAGUAUAGGGUGCAGGACCGAGAAGGUAAAAUGGAUAACUUUGGAGGUGUAUCAUACAGUAUAGGAUGCAGGAGCGAGCAGGUAAAAUGGAUUACUUUGGAGGUCUAUCAUACAGUAUAGGAUGCAGGACCGAGAAGGUAAAAUGGAUUACUUUGGAGGUCUAUCAUACAGUAUAGGGUGCAGGACUGAGAAGGUAAAAUGGAUAACUUUGGAGGUGUAUCAUACAGUAUAGGGGCAGGAGCGAGAAGGAUAAACGGCUAACUUUGGAGGUCUAUCAUACAGUAUAGGGUGCAGGACCGAGAAGGUAAAAUGGAUAACUUUGGGUGGUCUAUCAUACAGUAUAGAGUUCAGGACCGAGAAGGUAAAAUGGAUAACUUUGGAGGUCUAUCAUACAGUAUAGGGUGCAGGACCGAGAAGGUAAAAUGGAUAACUUUGGAUGUGUAUCAUACAGUAUAGGGUGCAGGACCGGGAAGGUUAAACGGCUAACUUUGGAGGUGUAUCAUACAGUAUAGGGUGCAGGACCGAGAACGUAAAAUGGAUAACUUUGGAGGUGUAUCAUACAGUAUAGGGUGCAGGACCGAUAAGGUAAAAUGGAUAACUUUGGAGGUGUAUCAUACAGUAUAGGAUGCAGGAC
Molecule: long non-coding RNA, 895 nt
Organism: Mytilus californianus (California mussel)
Lineage: Eukaryota; Metazoa; Mollusca; Bivalvia; Mytilida; Mytilidae
Exons: 5
Source: RefSeq, a predicted model, not a curated record